Molecule: ribosomal RNA, 67 nt
Filed under: Hafnia alvei
Lineage: Bacteria; Pseudomonadati; Pseudomonadota; Gammaproteobacteria; Enterobacterales; Hafniaceae
Also listed under: 5 other names
Description: partial 16S ribosomal RNA
Rfam family: Bacterial small subunit ribosomal RNA
Source: RNAcentral
UUUAAUUGAAGAGUUUGAUCAUGGCUCAGAUUGAACGCUGGCGGCAGGCCUAACACAUGCAAGUCGA